Melopsittacus undulatus (budgerigar) is the source of this 4580-nucleotide RNA transcript. It is a transcript of the gene named dynamin 1, with no coding region annotated. NCBI's taxonomy places the organism in Eukaryota, Metazoa, Chordata, Aves, Psittaciformes, Psittaculidae. The transcript has 21 exons. The record is from RefSeq and is a predicted model, not a curated record.
GGCGAGGGGUGCGAGCGGUGCCGGUGCCCACCGGCCGGGGCGGCGAGGGCUGGGACUGCCGCCGGUGAGGGUGUGGGGAAGGCAGCGGUGUGAGUUCGCCUGUGUGAAGUAACCGGUGCCGCGCCGCAGCCAUGGGGAACCGCGGGAUGGAGGAUCUCAUCCCGCUGGUCAACCGGCUGCAGGACGCCUUCGCCGCCAUCGGGCAGAACGCCAACCUCGACCUGCCGCAGAUCGCCGUGGUGGGGGGGCAGAGCGCCGGCAAGAGCUCCGUGCUGGAGAAUUUCGUCGGGAGGGAUUUUCUGCCACGUGGAUCUGGCAUCGUAACCAGGCGCCCACUGGUCCUGCAGCUGGUAAAUGCGAGCACAGAAUAUGGUGAGUUCCUACACUGCAAAGGAAAGAAAUUCACUGAUUUUGAGGAGGUCCGUUUGGAGAUUGAGGCUGAAACAGAUCGUGUUACUGGCUCCAACAAAGGGAUUUCCCCUGUGCCCAUCAAUCUUCGAGUCUACUCUCCCCAUGUCCUGAACCUGACCUUGGUGGAUCUACCGGGUAUGACCAAAGUCCCAGUAGGGGACCAGCCCCCUGACAUUGAGUUUCAGAUCCGAGAUAUGCUCAUGCAGUUUGUCACCAAAGAGAAUUGCCUCAUCCUGGCAGUAUCUCCAGCCAACUCUGAUUUGGCCAAUUCUGAUGCUCUGAAGAUUGCAAAGGAGGUGGAUCCUCAAGGGCAACGCACUAUUGGAGUCAUCACUAAGCUGGAUCUUAUGGAUGAAGGCACUGAUGCACGAGAUGUAUUAGAAAAUAAAUUGCUUCCACUUCGUAGAGGUUACAUUGGUGUAGUGAACAGAAGUCAGAAGGACAUAGAUGGCAAAAAGGACAUUCAGGCAGCUCUGGCUGCAGAGAGGAAAUUCUUUCUCUCCCACCCAGCCUACAGACACAUGGCUGAUCGCAUGGGAACCCCCUACCUGCAGAAAGUAUUGAACCAGCAAUUGACCAACCACAUCCGUGACACCCUGCCAGGGCUGCGCAACAAGCUCCAAAGCCAGCUUCUCUCCAUUGAGAAGGAGGUAGAGGAGUACAAGAACUUUCGCCCUGAUGACCCUGCUCGCAAGACCAAAGCUCUGCUUCAGAUGGUCCAGCAGUUUGCUGUGGACUUUGAAAAACGCAUUGAAGGCUCUGGAGACCAAAUUGAUACCUACGAGCUGUCAGGAGGAGCUAGGAUUAACCGCAUCUUCCAUGAGCGUUUCCCCUUUGAGCUGGUGAAGAUGGAGUUUGAUGAGAAGGAGCUGCGACGGGAGAUUAGCUAUGCCAUCAAGAACAUCCAUGGUAUCAGAACCGGUCUCUUCACACCCGACAUGGCCUUUGAGACCAUUGUGAAAAAGCAGGUGAAGAAGAUUAAAGAACCUUGCCUGAAAUGCGUGGACAUGGUCAUUUCGGAGUUAAUCAAUACUGUUAGACAGUGCACCAAGAAGCUCAGCCAAUACCCUCAUCUGCGUGAGGAGAUGGAGAGGAUUGUCACGACUCACAUCCGUGAGAGAGAAGGCAGGACCAAAGAUCAGGUCAUGCUUCUCAUAGACAUUGAGCUGGCUUACAUGAACACAAACCAUGAGGACUUCAUUGGCUUUGCCAAUGCUCAGCAGAGGAGCAGCCAAAUGAGCAAGAAGAAGGCAGCUGGCAACCAGGUCAUCCGAAAGGGCUGGCUCACUAUCAACAACAUUGGGAUCAUGAAGGGUGGCUCCAAGGAGUAUUGGUUUGUCCUGACAGCAGAGAACCUCUCCUGGUACAAGGAUGAUGAGGAGAAAGAGAAGAAGUACAUGUUACCAGUGGAUAACUUGAAGCUGCGAGAUGUUGAGAAGGGGUUCAUGUCCAGCAAGCACAUCUUUGCUCUCUUCAACACUGAACAGAGGAAUGUUUACAAGGACUACCGGCAGCUGGAGCUGGCCUGUGAGACCCAGGAGGAGGUGGAUAGCUGGAAGGCUUCCUUCCUUCGUGCAGGAGUCUACCCAGAGCGUGUUGGGGACAAGGACAAAGCCAGUGAAGCAGAGGAGAAUGGAUCAGACAGUUUCAUGCACUCCAUGGAUCCUCAGCUGGAGAGACAAGUGGAAACGAUCAGGAACCUGGUGGAUUCCUACAUGGCAAUUGUCAACAAAACCAUCCGAGACCUCAUGCCGAAGACAAUCAUGCACCUCAUGAUAAACAAUACCAAGGACUUCAUCCAUUCAGAGCUGCUGGCAAACCUGUAUUCCUGUGGUGACCAAAAUACCCUGAUGGAGGAAUCAGCAGAGCAGGCUCAGCGACGUGACGAGAUGCUGCGCAUGUUCCAUGCCCUGAAAGAGGCCCUCAACAUCAUCGGGGACAUCAACACCAGCACCAUCAGCACCCCAAUGCCCCCACCGGUGGACGACUCUUGGCUGCAGGUCCCCUACGUCCAGCCCCACGCCACAGAGGAGAGCUCCUGCAGUGCCACCCGCCAGACCUGGGUCUCGAGGCCCAGCUCCUGGACCACCUCCUGCUGGUGGGUCCACGCUGGGUGGUGCACCCCCUGUGCCCUCCAGGCCGGGGGCCUCUCCUGAUCCCUUUGGGCCCCCACCUCAGGUUCCUUCUCGGCCUAAUCGUGCUCCUCCUGGUGUUCCCAGAAGGGGCCCUGCCUCACCUACUCGACCUACCAUAAUCCGACCGGCUGAACCGUCCCUCUUAGAUUUAUAACUCGAGGCUGUAGACAGCUGGCGACGAAUGCCGUGCUGGCGGCUGCCCCAUCCCACCCUCCCUUCCACAGCCACAGUCACUCCUCUCAUCCAUCCCACAUCUCUGCCUCCCACCGCCCCUUCCUGGUGUGUCGUAAAACACUAGCCUAGUGAUUGAGCUCUUCGUCUUCACUCGUGCGUCCUGUAUUGCUUUGUGAGCAUAGAGUAGCCUUCAUUCAGUGGCAUGGAUCCCUGAAGUACACGGGCUCCUUGGAGAGAUCAGCCGCAGGGACAUCCUUAAGUCCAAGUGGUGGCUGUCCGUCCAUCUGCCUGGUCUAGCCUGGAUAAGUGUCCUGCCUGCAUCAGUUAGCUGUAGCACCCGGGACUGAUCUAUAGCUAUUUUCUUGUAGUUAAGACUAAAGUGUGACUUAGAAGAACAAUACUAUCAAAACAUGUGACACCGUUAGGAACAGAUUCAAUGUCCUGUGUAUUAGUUUGACUUCUAAGGUGCAAAAAUUCAUGUUGGGAACAGUGCAAUCAACCUUCUAUCCGAGUGAGGCAGGGAAAACAAGGAAAGGGGGGAAUUCAGUGGAUCGGCAUAGUCCUGCUAGAGUGAAGGCUGAGAUAGCGCACACACCUCAGCGGGCAGGGGGCACAUGGACCUGCUCACACUCGGCUCCCUUAGAGCUGGGGCAAUCCUGCUGGUGAUGCAGUGCUUUAGCAUCAUCACUUUUGGCUGACUUUCCUGAAGCCAGCAGGGAGAGGGGAAUAGAUCUGCUGCUCCCCCCUUGCAAAUGGACAGCCAAAUGUUUUCAGGGAGUUUUGCUGUGUAAUGUUUUGUUCAAGAUCUUUCUGCUUUGGAUAAGCACAUCUUCCAGUGUGGUUUGGGUACUGUGGUGACUUCUUCCGUAGCCUUUUCUUCUUGCAUGUGGAUGGUACGUGUUUGGGGAAACUUGUAACCGUUGUUGACCGCAACUCAUCUUCUUAAGGUUUGGUUUCUACUUUUCAUGCUACAUGUAUUAAAAAAUACUUGAGAAUUAAAGAUAUAUCAACCCUGUCCAUCUCAGAUGUCAUGUCUCUACCAGAGCUGAAUGAGCCAUUUGUGUUGCAGGCUUUCACCAAGGCCUGAUUCAGAUUUAACUUACCUCCAUUUCAGUGCUAUUACUCUGUUGUGGAUCCUCUGUUGUUGUGAUGCCAGUUCCUUUCUGUAUUUUAACUAUUGUUUUACUACUUCUCCCCCUUUUUCCUUCCCUUUUUCCUUUGUUUUCCUUGUCUUUACCCUCCAGCCGGCCGGGUAAGGCCAGUCCCUCCCGCCCGGAGAGCCCAAAACCACCAUUUGACAUGUAGGCCUGCUCCCUCUGAGACUCUUUGCCUGCCUCUUAGCUGUUCUGUCCUGGAAUGGUCUGACUCGAAUCUCACCCAUGGCUUGUUCUGUUUGUAUUUUGUGACACACACACAUCAGCUGUGAUUGUAGUAAAACUGGUUUCUUCAUUUUCUUUCUUCCCAGCUGCUUAAAGGAGUUAAACAAGUAUAUUGUAGUAAUGAGAACCAUAUCUUUACUGUUAUAAAUAUCUAUAAAUAUAUAUAUAUAAGAUGAAAAAUCUAUCUAUGUCCAGGUGUUUAAAGCCAUUUGUGCUUCCAUGUGGAUUUUAGGAAAUACUUAAGUAGGGAAAGAAUAUCUAUAUACAUAUAUAUAUACACUUACAUGCAAAAAGCUAACCAAAUCCUAAUGUUGAGUUUUUGAGCCGAUUGUUAAAUUCUCUGCUGUGUGCAGUUGGGUUAUUGUAUUACCCCAGACUUGUGGGUGAACUGUCUCAGUGCUGGUAGUAGCUGUGAUGCAGUUUGUGAUCUACCUGUCACUCUUGUUUAUUGAAUGAAAUAAACUAUCAUUUCUGUAUAAUG